AACGAACGCUGGCGGCAUGCCUAACACAUGCAAGUCGAACGAUGCCUUCGGGCAUAGUGGCGCACGGGUGCGUAACGCGUGGGAAUCUGCCUUUCGGUUCGGAAUAACUCAGGGAAACUUGAGCUAAUACCGGAUAACGUCGCAAGACCAAAGAUUUAUCACCGAAAGAUGAGCCCGCGUAGGAUUAGCUAGUUGGUGAGGUAAAGGCUCACCAAGACGACGAUCCUUAGCUGGUCUGAGAGGAUGAUCAGCCACACUGGGACUGAGACACGGCCCAGACUCCUACGGGAGGCAGCAGUGGGGAAUAUUGGACAAUGGGCGAAAGCCUGAUCCAGCAAUGCCGCGUGAGUGAUGAAGGCCUUAGGGUUGUAAAGCUCUUUUACCCGGGAAGAUAAUGACGGUACCGGGAGAAUAAGCCCCGGCUAACUCCGUG
This 433-nucleotide ribosomal RNA is filed under the name uncultured bacterium. RNAcentral describes it as "partial 16S ribosomal RNA". It matches the Rfam family "Bacterial small subunit ribosomal RNA", at positions 29 to 507 of the family's 1533-position model. The record is from RNAcentral.